Molecule: long non-coding RNA, 950 nt
Filed under: Sus scrofa (pig)
Lineage: Eukaryota; Metazoa; Chordata; Mammalia; Artiodactyla; Suidae
Description: lncRNA (ENSSSCG00065059754.1)
Source: RNAcentral
ACAGGAAGGGGACAUCAGUGCUCAGAGGGGCACGAGAAUUCAUAGAAAAGCUGAGGGAGCUGAGGUUAUUACAAAAUCUCAACUCUGGUUCCCUGUGCCUGAGAAAAACGGCCUAAACAAAGCACAGGUGAGGGUUUGUGGUGGCCUCCCGUCUGGGGAUCCAAGGCAUUCUGCCUCCUUGGAAGUUCUUGGCCUCUCGGCACUCCCAGUCGAUGGAGGUGUUGUCAGUGGACAAAGAUGAACAUUCCAGAAGAAAAGGCUUGAAACCAGCAGGCAUCAGAGAGAGCUCACAGCUGCUAAGAAGCUGGAGGCAUCCGGGCUGGUCUCUGCCCACCCCCACAACUGUUAGGCCACAGAUGCGGCAGGCAGGGCUGAGCAGCCCGGGUGGGGAGAAAGGGCAGAAGAGGAUUAUGGGAGGUCCCCGGGGAAACCUCAGGCAGAUUGAGGACGUUGCCCCCCACCAGCCCCCUCUCCAGGCUCAGAGGCGGUCAGAGUAGAGGCACACAGUGCUUGUCUGGGGCAGGUGGGCUUUAGCGCACACACUUUCAGGCCUUCAUUAAGAUUCAUCCUCCCCCGUGACCUGUCUCCUGGGUCCUGACCUGCAGCCCAGGGGUAGGGGGGGUUCCCCUUCUGUGGGGCUGCCCCAAGGCCCUUGCUGAGAGGCUAGGCACACCAGGCCUGUGUUAAGACUUGCCAAACUGCACCAGGAUCGCAGUAUCCAUUGUGGGAGGCGGAGAUUUUGCCCAGAUAAUUCUCUCUCCUUUCCAGCCCCAAUCCUAGCCCUGGCCUGGAGCCUUCCAGCCCCUACAGGCUGGGGUAGGAGAUGGGAUGGGUGGUACUGCCUGAAGGCAGAGAGGCCUACAGGUUGGUCCCCAGACCCCUAACGCCCUCGUGGUCCCUGGCUUGGGAAAGCCACGUAUGAAUAAACAUAGCUCAAUGAUACCAUCCAA